GGAGCAGUGGCUACAAACUGGAGGACCGCUAAUCUAAUAAUUAUCAGCUUGGAGUGUUUUAAAACAGCCUUCAGGAUGUUGGUCUAAAGUUUGCUGCCUACACCAGAAACGUUUGAGAAAGCUGCUGAGAUCACCAAGAGAAGAUGGAUGUAAUGGUUUUCUGAAGAGAGGGUAAGUUGUUGGCAGAAGGUGGUGCUGUUACCUGAUGGUGAAGCAGAUAACUAGCUCCUGUGUCAGGGAACUUCUGCUAAACAAAAUCC
RNAcentral lists this long non-coding RNA (260 nucleotides) under Calidris pygmaea (Spoon-billed sandpiper). RNAcentral's name for it is "lncRNA (ENSCPGG00000016512.1)". The record is from RNAcentral. Lineage: Eukaryota; Metazoa; Chordata; Aves; Charadriiformes; Scolopacidae.